UGAGAUGCUCGUAAGAGAUGUGGUCUCUUGGACCAAUAUCAUAUCUGGGUAUGUGAGGGCGGGUUGUUUGAUGAGGCUGUAACUUUGUUUUUGAGGAUGGACGUUGAGCCAAUAUCGCAACAUUUGUGAGUCUGUUAGUUGCUUUGAGGGAAAAACUGAAUUUGAGUGUGGGGAGGGGAAUUCAUGGUCUAGAUUUGGGGAAAGAGAUGAAGGGAUAAGGGAAAUGUUGAUGGUGAUGAGGGAGAGGCAUCUGCGGGUGGAUUUGGUGUGGUGUGGAGAUGAGUGAGAGUUGAGGGAAUUAACUAGGCGUCUGUAGGUGGAUUUAGUGUGGUCAGAUUUGAGUCAAGUUGAAACCCAGGAAGCUGAUG
Molecule: unclassified non-coding RNA, 368 nt
Filed under: Hevea brasiliensis (rubber tree)
Lineage: Eukaryota; Viridiplantae; Streptophyta; Magnoliopsida; Malpighiales; Euphorbiaceae
Source: RNAcentral